GGUUAAGCUAUUAAGAGCACACGGAGGAUGCCUAGGCACCAGGAGCCGAAGAAAGGGAUCGUGGCGAACAACGAUAAUGCCUCGGGGAGCCGUAAGCAGGCUUUGAUCCGGGGAUGUCCGAAUGGGGAAACCCCACAUGUGGUAAUUCGCAUGUACCAUGCAGUGAAUACAUAGCUGCAUUGGAGGCAGACGAGGGGAACUGAAACAUCUAAGUACCCUCAGGAAAAGAAAACAAUAGUGAUUCCGUCAGUAGCGGCGAGCGAAAGCGGAACAGCCCAAACCAAGGAGCUUGCUCCUUGGGGUUGUAGGACGUCAAUGUGGGUUAAGCAGAGUAGGCGAACAGGUCUGGAAAGGCCGGCCAGAGUGGGUAAAAGCCCCGUAACUGAAAUUCUGCGAACAUCCUAGACGGAUCCUGAGUACCGCGAGACACGUGAAACCUCGUGGGAAACCGGCAGGACCAUCUGCCAAGGCUAAAUACUCCCUGGUGACCGAUAGUGAAGCAGUACCGUGAGGGAAAGGUGAAAAGAACCGCGGGAGCGGAGUGAAAAAGAACCUGAAACCGUGUGCUUACAAGAAGUCAGAGCCCGUUAAUGGGUGAUGGCGUGCCUUUUGUAGAAUGAACCGGCGAGUUACGUUCCCGUGCGAGGUUAAGGUGAGAAGCCGCAGCCGCAGCGAAAGCGAGUCUGAAUAGGGCGACAUAGUACGUGGACGUAGACCCGAAACCGUGUGAUCUACCCCUGUCCAGGGUGAAGGUGCGGUAACACGCACUGGAGGCCCGAACCCACGAAUGUUGAAAAAUUCGGGGAUGAGGUGGGGGUAGCGGAGAAAUUCCAAUCGAACUCGGAGAUAGCUGGUUCUCCCCGAAAUAGCUUUAGGGCUAGCCUCGGGUUAGCGUUGCGGAGGUAAAGCACUGAUUGGGUGCGGGGCCCGCCAAGGGUUACCAAGUCCAGUCAAACUCUGAAUGCCGCAAACGUGAUGCCCGGGAGUCAGACAGUGAGUGCUAAGAUCCAUUGUCAAGAGGGAAACAGCCCAGAUCAUCAGCUAAGGUCCCCAAGUGUGUGUUAAGUGGGAAAGGAUGUGGAGUUGCACAGACAACCAGGAUGUUGGCUUAGAAGCAGCCACCAUUGAAAGAGUGCGUAAUAGCUCACUGGUCGAGUGACUCUGCGCCGAAAAUGUAACGGGGCUAAACACACCACCGAAGCUAUGAGUCCAAGGUGCAAACUUGUUUGCACCCGGGCAGUAGGGGAGCGUUGUAUGCGGGUUGAAGGUUGAUCGUGAGGACAGCUGGACUGCAUACAAGUGAGAAUGCCGGUAUGAGUAACGAAAAGAUCAGUGAGAAUCUGAUCCGCCGAAAGCCUAAGGGUUCCUGAGGAAGGCUCGUCCGCUCAGGGUAAGUCGGGACCUAAGGCGAGGCCGAAAGGCGUAGUCGAAGGACAACAGGUUGAAAUUCCUGUACCACCGUGAACCGUUAUGAGCAAUGGGGUGACGCAGAAGGAUAGUGACGCGAGCUGAUGGAUGCUCGUCCAAGCAGUAAGGCUGAUGUGUAGGCAAAUCCGCACAUCGUAAGGCUAAGCUGUGAUGGGGAGGGAAAUUUAAGUACCGAAGGUCAUGAGUUCAGGCUGCCAAGAAAAGCCUCUAGCCAGGGAGAAGGUGCCCGUACCGCAAACCGACACAGGUAGGCGAGCAGAGCAUGCUAAGGCGCGCGGAAGAACUCUCGUUAAGGAACUCGGCAAAAUGACCCCGUAACUUCGGGAGAAGGGGUGCCUCGGUAGGGUGAAUAGCCCGAGGGGGCCGCAGUGAAAAGGCCCAAGCGACUGUUUAGCAAAAACACAGGUCUGUGCGAAGCCGCAAGGCGAAGUAUACGGGCUGACGCCUGCCCGGUGCUGGAAGGUUAAGGGGAGCGGUUAGGAGCAAUCCGAAGCUGUGAACCGAAGCCCCAGUAAACGGCGGCCGUAACUAUAACGGUCCUAAGGUAGCGAAAUUCCUUGUCAGGUAAAUUCUGACCCGCACGAAUGGCGUAACGACUUGGGCGCUGUCUCGACGAGAGAUCCGGUGAAAUUUUAAUACCUGUGAAGAUGCAGGUUACCCGCGACAAGACGGAAAGACCCCAUGGAGCUUUACUGCAGCUUGAUAUUGGACUUUGGUACGAUCUGUACAGGAUAGGUGGGAGCCUGAGAAGCCUGAGCGCCAGCUUGGGUGGAGGCGCCGUUGGGAUACCACCCUGAUCGUAUCGGAGUUCUAACCUGGUACCGUGAUCCGGUACGGGGACAGUGUCAGGUGGGCAGUUUGACUGGGGCGGUCGCCUCCUAAAGCGUAACGGAGGCGCCCCAAGGUUCCCUCAGAAUGGUUGGAAAUCAUUCGAAGAGUGCAAAGGCAUAAGGGAGCUUGACUGCGAGACAAACAGGUCGAGCAGGGACGAAAGUCGGGCUUAGUGAUCCGGUGGUACCGAAUGGAAGGGCCAUCGCUCAACGGAUAAAAGCUACCCUGGGGAUAACAGGCUUAUCUCCCCCAAGAGUCCACAUCGACGGGGAGGUUUGGCACCUCGAUGUCGGCUCAUCGCAUCCUGGGGCUGAAGUAGGUCCCAAGGGUUGGGCUGUUCGCCCAUUAAAGCGGUACGCGAGCUGGGUUCAGAACGUCGUGAGACAGUUCGGUCCCUAUCUGUCGCGGGCGCAGGAAAUUUGAGAGGAGCUGUCCUUAGUACGAGAGGACCGGGAUGGACGUACCGCUGGUGUACCAGUUGUUCCGCCAGGAGCACGGCUGGAUAGCCAAGUACGGACGGGAUAAGCGCUGAAAGCAUCUAAGCGUGAAGCCCCCCUCAAGAUGAGAUUUCCCAGUAUGUAAGACCCCUUGUAGACGACGAGGUUGAUAGGUUCGGGGUGGAAGCGCGGCAACGCGUGGAGCUGACGAAUACUAAUCGGUCGAGGGCUUAUCCAC
Ribosomal RNA from Paenibacillus mucilaginosus 3016, 2934 nucleotides. It matches the Rfam family "Bacterial large subunit ribosomal RNA". Lineage: Bacteria; Bacillati; Bacillota; Bacilli; Caryophanales; Paenibacillaceae. The record is from Rfam.